Molecule: long non-coding RNA, 491 nt
Filed under: Ananas comosus (pineapple)
Lineage: Eukaryota; Viridiplantae; Streptophyta; Magnoliopsida; Poales; Bromeliaceae
Description: long non-coding RNA (ACOM_LNC011031)
Source: RNAcentral
AAAUAAAAAGGUUUAUAUAUUCCUAAAAUUUUUUAAUUUUUUAAUUUAUUUUUUAAAAAUAUUAAUAUUAAAAAAAAUUAUGUUUCAAUCUAUUUUAAAUAUAUUUCGAUUUUAUUAAUAAAUUAUUAAUAAUAAAUAUUAUCUCUAUAAAAUUAUAAUUUUGCCUAUUCAAAUAUACUCUUUUAUUACUACCUAAUUUUUUUAUUUAUUCUUAAAUUAGGAGAACAAAAAAUAUUUUAAUUUUUUAUCUUUUUAAAUAUAUUCUUCUAUCAUUACUAAUAUUUUUUAUUUGUCUUUAAAUUAAGAAAAAAAGAGAUAUUUUGAUUUUUUAAAAUUCUGGUAGAUAUUUAACUCAAGUUUAUUUCAAGUUAACUUAAUGGGUAAUAACUGCAGCAGUAUUUUAGAAUAAUUGAAAAACAUAUAACAACUAAAAAAAUAUAUUAAAAAAAUAAAAAAUUUAAAAAUUUAAAAAUUUUGAGAAGUAUAGAGGC